This 224-nucleotide long non-coding RNA is filed under the name Homo sapiens (human). Its description in RNAcentral is "non-protein coding lnc-FAM135B-7:1". The record is from RNAcentral. Lineage: Eukaryota; Metazoa; Chordata; Mammalia; Primates; Hominidae.
UUUAUUUUAUUUUUGCUAAGUAUCUUAUUUUGAUGUCUUGCCAAUUCCCUUUAAUUAUACAUUUUAGUCACAUGAACCUGUCUGUGGAUCCUGACACACACCACUGGGUUUCAUAACUUUGUGUCAUUCCAUAGGCUGGACUCCAUUUCUUUCCUGCCUCGUGAACUCCUAGUUGUUAAAACGCGGUACAAACUUCCUCAGUUUUUUUGCCUGCCCACUGCCCA